CCCUUUGUGAACUUUACCUUACGUUGCCUCGGCGGUCACGCCCCGGGGCCCCCAGGGCCCGGACCGAGGCCGCCGGCGGAGACCCCAAACCCUCUGUCUUUAGUGGUUUUCUCCUCUGAGUGACAUAAUCAAAUAAAUAAAAACUUUCAACAACGGAUCUCUUGGUUCUGGCAUCGAUGAAGAACGCAGCGAAAUGCGAUAAGUAAUGUGAAUUGCAGAAUUCAGUGAAUCAUCGAAUCUUUGAACGCACAUUGCGCCCUCUGGUAUUCCGGAGGGCAUGCCUGUUCGAGCGUCAUUUCAACCCUCAAGCCUCCGUUGCCUGGCGUUGGGGAUCGGCGCGGCGUCCCUCCGGGGCGUGCCGGCCCCGAAAUUCAGUUAAUGUCUCGCUGUAGCCCUCCUCCGCGUAGUAGCACAACCUCGCGGCCUGGAGCUCGGCGGUGUGGCCAUGCCGUAAAACACCCCACUUCUGAACCUCGGGUCCUCGGAUCGUAGGAAUAUACCCGCUGAACUUAAGCAUAUCAAUAAGCGGAGGAAUACGGAGAGA
RNAcentral lists this ribosomal RNA (544 nucleotides) under Myrothecium sp. M15-GM-368. Its description in RNAcentral is "eukaryotic LSU rRNA". The stretch from base 142 to 295 matches the Rfam family "5.8S ribosomal RNA". The record is from RNAcentral. Lineage: Eukaryota; Fungi; Ascomycota; Sordariomycetes; Hypocreales; Stachybotryaceae.